This 400-nucleotide unclassified non-coding RNA is filed under the name soil metagenome. RNAcentral describes it as "partial contains 5.8S ribosomal RNA, internal transcribed spacer 2, and large subunit ribosomal RNA". The stretch from base 1 to 122 matches the Rfam family "5.8S ribosomal RNA", at positions 35 to 154 of the family's 154-position model. The record is from RNAcentral.
GAUGAAGAACGUAGCGAAAUGCGAUACUUGGUGUGAAUUGCAGAAUCCCGUGAACCAUCGAGUCUUUGAACGCAAGUUGCGCCUCAAGCCAUUAGGUUGAGGGCACGUCUGCCUGGGCGUCACAUAUCGUUGCCUGAUGCCAGUUUCCUCGUGAUGGGUGACUGUGCAGGGCGAAUGAUGGCUUCCCGUGAGCACUGUUGCCUCAUGGUUGGUUGAAAAUUGAGUCCUUGGUAGGGAGCGCCGUGAUAGAUGGUGGUUGAGUGACGAACGAGACCCAAUCAUGUGAGACCCCUACCGAAUUUGGCCUUCAUGACCCACAUGCGUCUUUGGAACGCUCAUGACGAGACCUCAGGUCAGGCGGGGCUACCCGCUGAGUUUAAGCAUAUCAAUAAGCGGAGGA